AUGGCUCCGGGGGACACCGGCGUCGAGCAGCCGCGUAAGGCGCAUCGCGUGGCCAAGUCGGGCGCGAAGGCGCGGAAGAGGAAGGGCAAAGGCGCCGCCGGCGACGAUGAAGGGGGCGAGAGGAAGAACCCCAAGGCUUUUGCCUUCCGUUCAGCAACAAAGGCGAAGCGGCUACAAUCUCGGUCAGCAGAAAUUGAACAACGUCGUCUCCAUGUGCCAAUCAUGGAUCGCUCAAUUGGGGAACCACCUCCUUUUGUUGUUGUAGUCCAAGGACCUCCGCAGGUUGGAAAGUCGCUGCUGAUAAAAUGUCUAGUAAAGCACUACACUAAACAAAACUUGUCAGAUGUCCGUGGUCCCAUCACGGUUGUAUCAGGUAAAAGCAGGAGGGUGCAGUUCUUGGAGUGUCCAAGUGAUAUCAAUGGAAUGAUCGAUGCGGCUAAAAUAGCAGAUCUUGCUCUGCUGCUUAUUGAUGGUAGCUAUGGAUUUGAGAUGGAUACAUUCGAGUUCCUUAAUAUCAUGCAAGUGCAUGGAUUCCCCAAGGUAAUGGGAGUGCUUACACAUCUUGAUCAAUUUAAAGAUGUAAAGAAACUCAGGAAAACUAAGCAGCGCCUUAAGCAUCGAUUCUGGGCUGAGAUAAAGGAGGGAGCGAAACUGUUCUACUUAUCUGGUCUCAUUCAUGGAAAAUACACAAAAAGAGAAGUCCAUAAUCUUGCAAGGUUUAUAUCUGUUAUCAAGCCCAUCCCUUUGAGUUGGCGAAUGGCACAUCCUUACUUGUUAGCAGAUAGAUUCGAAGAUGUAACUUCGUCAGAAAGUGUGCGCUUGAAUAGGAAAUGUGACAGAAAAAUAACGCUGUAUGGUUACCUUCGUGGAUGUAACAUGAAAAGAGGGACCAAGGUGCAUAUCACAGGAGCAGGUGAUUUCAGCUUGUCUGGUGUGACAAGUUUGGCUGAUCCCUGCCCUUUGCCAUCGGCUGCAAAGAAGCGAGGACUACGUGACAAGGAGAAGCUGUUCUAUGCCCCAAUGUCUGGUCUUGGGGAUCUCCUGUAUGACAAGGAUGCGGUGUACAUCAACAUCAAUGAUCAUCUUGUUCAGUUUUCAAACACUGAUGACAACAAUGCAUCUAAGAAACAAGGGAAAGGUAAUGAUGUCGGUGUGGCUCUAGUAAAAACUCUUCAGAACACCAAAUACUCCCUUGAUGAGAAGUUAGAUCAGAGUUUUAUAAAUUUCUUCGGCAGACGGCCUGCUGCUCAGUCCGAAGACAGUGACAUGACAGGUACCCUGGAGAGCAAUGGGCACUCUUCUUCUGAGUGCUCUAGUGAUAGUGAAGGUGACAAUGAUGAUGACAUUCAGCCAAGUGAUCAUGGCGUUGACUUGAGAGAAGAAGUGGAAUUUUGCAAUGGAAGAAUGAGGCGAAAAGCUGUGUCAGCUAAUUUUCAAGAUGUUGAUGAUGAUGAUGAGGGUUCUGAUAACGAAGAUGAUAGUCAUAAUGAAGAUUCUGACGAUGACCACCUAUCUGAAGGUUCUUUAUCAUCAGAUGGUAGUGGAGAAGCUCUUGAUUCAGAUGAUGGAACUGAAAACACUUCGAAGUGGAAAAAAUCUUUACUUGCUAGAACACUGGCCAGACGGAGUGCCAGUCUAAUGCAACUUGUAUAUGGGCAAGCUUCAGCAGAACUAGACAAUGAUAGCGGCGAAGAAGGUAGCUCUGAUGAAGAAAUUUUUGUACCAAAAGGACAAAAAAAGCAAGUAAAGAAUGAAUUACCAAGCUUUGAUGAUAUUGAUGCUGAGGAUUGCUCUAAGUUCUUGAAAGUGGAGCUACGUGAUUGGUCUAACGAAGAUCUCAUCAAAAGCACUCGUGACCGUUUUGUGACUGGAGAUUGGUCAAAAGCUUCUCUGAGAGGACGCGAGGUAGAUGAAAAUGGAGAGGGUGAUGAAGAAAUCGAUGGUGAUUUUGAAGAUCUGGAAACUGGUGAGGUGCACAAGAGCCAGGCUGCUGAAAGUGCAGCUGGGAAGCCAGGUGUUCACAAAGAAGACGAACUAAAAGUUGAAGAACUAAGACUCAAGAAGCUUGCGCUUAAAGCAAAAUUUGAUUCAGAAUAUGAUGGAUCGGACCUCUCUGGCGAGGAAGUUGAUAACGAGAAGAAGAAAUCGAAAAGAGAGCAAUCUGACGCAGGGGGCUAUUUUGACAAAUUGAAGGAGGAAAUUGAACUCCGCAAGCAAAUGAAUAUAUCUGAACUCAAUGAUCUGGAUGAGGAUACCCGAGUAGAAAUUGAAGGAUUUAGGACUGGUACUUACGUCAGAUUAGAGAUACAUGGUGUGCCGUAUGAGCUAGUUGAGCAUUUUGAUCCUUGCCACCCCAUUCUUGUUGGUGGUAUUGGCCUCGGUGAGGAGAACACUGGAUAUAUGCAGGUUAGCUUGAAGCGCCACAGAUGGCAUAGGAAAGUGUUGAAGACAAAAGACCCAAUUGUUGUCUCUAUUGGUUGGAGACGUUUCCAAACAACGCCUGUAUAUGCAAUAGAGGAUCGAAAUGGCCGGCACCGCAUGCUCAAGUACACACCAGAGCAUAUGCAUUGCUUUGCUAUGUUUUGGGGGCCACUGGCUCCACCAAAAAGCGGUGUACUAGCAGUCCAGAGUCUUUCCAGCAAUAAGGUACCAUUUAGAAUUACUGCAACUGGUUGGGUUCAGGAAUUCAACAAUACUGCCCGAAUUAUGAAGAAGAUCAAGCUCACAGGCGCACCAUGCAAGAUAUUUAAGAAAACUGCCUUAAUUAAAGGGAUGUUCACAUCUGAUUUAGAGGUUGCUAGGUUUGAAGGUGCAGCAAUUCGGACAGUAAGUGGAAUCCGAGGACAAGUUAAGAAGGCAGCAAAGAUCGAACCAGGAGAUGCAUUAAGGAGAAAAGGGGAAAAUACGGAAGGCAUUGCGAGGUGCACAUUUGAGGACAAAGUUCUUAUGAGUGAUAUUGUCUUCAUGCGAGCAUGGAUCAACGUUGAAGUUCCCACCUACUGUAAUCUUGUGACCACUUCUCUUCAACCCCGAGAUCAGAUGUGGCAAGGCAUGAGAACCACUGCUGAGUUGCGGAAGGCACACAACAUACCUAUUCCACACAACAAAGACUCGGUUUACAAGGGUAUUGAGCGGAAAGUGCGGAAGUUCAACGCCAUAGAGGUCCCUAGAAAACUGCAACCUUUGCUUCCUUUUAAAUCAAAGCCGAAGGAUAGACCUAAGGGCAAGAAAGGAUCAGCUGUGGACAUGAUACCAGAGAUUAUGAAUAUUGGCGAGAAGAAGAUACAUGGAGCUCUUCAACAGUUGCAUCUGUUAAAGCAUGAAAAGACGAGGAAGGAGAAAAUCAAGCGCGGGCUGCAGAAGAAAGCUCACGAGGCGCAGAAAGCCAAGACGGAUGAGAUAACGAGGAAGCGGCAGAGGGAAGAUAGGCGUGAGAGAUACAGGGAAGAAGAUAAGAAAAAGAAGCGCGCCCGAAAGUAG
RNAcentral lists this ribosomal RNA (3480 nucleotides) under Triticum aestivum (bread wheat). RNAcentral describes it as "partial small subunit ribosomal RNA". The record is from RNAcentral. Lineage: Eukaryota; Viridiplantae; Streptophyta; Magnoliopsida; Poales; Poaceae.